GACGAACGCUGGCGGCGUGCCUAAUACAUGCAAGUAGAACGCACAGGAUGCACCGUAGUUUACUACACCGUAUUCUGUGAGUUGCGAACGGGUGAGUAACGCGUAGGUAACCUGCCUGGUAGCGGGGGAUAACUAUUGGAAACGAUAGCUAAUACCGCAUAAGAACAUUUACUGCAUGGUAGAUGUUUAAAAGGUGCAAAUGCAUCACUACCAGAUGGACCUGCGUUGUAUUAGCUAGUAGGUGAGGUAACGGCUCACCUAGGCGACGAUACAUAGCCGACCUGAGAGGGUGAUCGGCCACACUGGGACUGGGACACGGCCCAGACUCCUACGGGAGGCAGCAGUAGGGAAUCUUCGGCAAUGGGGGGAACCCUGACCGAGCAACGCCGCGUGAGUGAAGAAGGUUUUCGGAUCGUAAAGCUCUGUUGUUAAGGAAGAACGAGUGUGAGAAUGGAAAGUUCAUACUGUGACGGUACUUAACCAGAAAGGGACGGCUAACUACGUG
This 505-nucleotide ribosomal RNA is filed under the name uncultured bacterium. Its description in RNAcentral is "partial 16S ribosomal RNA". It matches the Rfam family "Bacterial small subunit ribosomal RNA", at positions 28 to 507 of the family's 1533-position model. The record is from RNAcentral.